RNAcentral lists this ribosomal RNA (182 nucleotides) under uncultured bacterium. RNAcentral describes it as "partial 16S ribosomal RNA". It matches the Rfam family "Archaeal small subunit ribosomal RNA", at positions 745 to 926 of the family's 1478-position model. The record is from RNAcentral.
UCCAGGGCGUAAACGCUGCAGGCUUGGUGUUGGGGGUACCACGAGUGCUCCCAGUGCCGGAGAGAAGUUGUUAAGCCUGCCACCUGGGGAGUAUGCUCGCAAGAGUGAAACUUAAAGGAAUUGGCGGGGGAGCACAGCAACGGGUGGAGCGUGCGGUUCAAUUGGAUUCAACGCCGGAAAAC